This 450-nucleotide ribosomal RNA is filed under the name uncultured soil bacterium. RNAcentral's name for it is "bacterial SSU rRNA". It matches the Rfam family "Bacterial small subunit ribosomal RNA", at positions 26 to 518 of the family's 1533-position model. The record is from RNAcentral.
AGAGCGAACGCUGGCGGCAGGCCUAAUACAUGCAAGUCGAGCGGCCACUUCGGUGGCAGCGGCGGACGGGUGAGUAACGCGUGGGAAUGUGCCCUUUGGUACGGAACAACUGAGGGAAACUUCAGCUAAUACCGUAUGUGCCCUUCGGGGGGAAAGAUUUAUUGCCAUUGGAGCAGCCCGCGUUGGAUUAGCUAGUUGGUGGGGUAAAGCCCACCAAGGCGACGAUCCAUAGCUGGUCUGAGAGGAUGAUCAGCCACACUGGGACUGAGACACGGCCCAGACUCCUACGGGAGCAGCAGUAGGGAAUCUGCGCAAUGGGCGAAAGCCUGACGCAGCCAUGCCGCGUGAAUGAUGAAGGUCUUAGGAUUAGUAAAAUUCUUUCGAACCGGGAAGAUAAGUGAACGGUACCCGGAAGAAGAACGCCCCGACUAACUUCGUGCCAGCAGCCGC